ACCCAGGGAGAAAGGGCGAGUAAGCUAAGGUCACACAGCAACAAAGCUGCACCCAGACCCCAGAGCCACUCUCCUCCCUCCCUCCUCCACCAGGGCCAUGCCCACUUGGGGCACCCCGCCACCGUGUUCCAGGGACAGCUGGAGCACAUGCUUCUUCCCUCGCCAACCCAGCAAUUCCGCAGGGCAUCUGACCUCCACUGUUGACUUCUACCCAGAGGACAAGAACAUUUUUAGUUCCCAAGGAAUGUACAUCAGC
This 256-nucleotide long non-coding RNA is filed under the name Homo sapiens (human). RNAcentral's name for it is "non-protein coding lnc-GHRL-3:3". Lineage: Eukaryota; Metazoa; Chordata; Mammalia; Primates; Hominidae. The record is from RNAcentral.